UUGUGGAGAAGGACGCCGAAGGUGGGGCUGAUGACUGGGGUGAAGUCGUAACAAGGUAGCCGUACCGGAAGGUGCGGCUGGAUCACCUCCUAACAGGGAGACAAUAAAUUGAUUGUGAUGUCUAAGUUUUUUAUUCUUAGGCCGCAAUCCUGUCACCUUAAGGUCGAUCGGUACCUCAGAUAUUAGAAUUAAUUUUAUAAUUUGUUCUUUUAUUUCAGUUCCUAAACUUGUCUAGGUCACACCCAACAAAGGUUUCUCCUGGGCCAUUAGCUCAGGUGGUUAGAGCGCACCCCUGAUAAGGGUGAGGUCCCUGGUUCAAGUCCAGGAUGGCCCAUUCGUUGUUGGGGGUAUAGCUCAGUUAGUAGAGCGCCUGCUUUGCAAGCAGGAUGUCAGCGGUUCGAGUCCGCUUACCUCCACUGAAAACUAUCCUGAUAACUAAAUUCUGGAGAAAAAUUUGUAGAUGUGGCUUAGAAUUGUCUGUUGAAAAGAACCUAGCUUCUUAUCAUCUUUUAUAUAGUUGAUAACAUGCUGGGCUCCCAUGGAUUAUUUUCAUGAGAAUUCAGUAGAACCUUGAAAACUGCAUAGAUUAGAAAGAAUAAAGCAUCUCAUGGAUGCAUAAUUCUGUUUUUAUAAUUUAGCCUUAAAACUAAAUUAUUUAUACAAGAAUUCAUGUUUAAUUCUUGAGUAAAAGCCGAGCACAAUUGAUUUUUUGAUUGUAUUAAGGUCAAGCUACAA
RNAcentral lists this unclassified non-coding RNA (735 nucleotides) under uncultured Prochlorococcus sp. RNAcentral's name for it is "partial 16S-23S ribosomal RNA intergenic spacer; may also contain 16S ribosomal RNA and 23S ribosomal RNA". The stretch from base 1 to 93 matches the Rfam family "Bacterial small subunit ribosomal RNA", at positions 1441 to 1533 of the family's 1533-position model. The record is from RNAcentral. Lineage: Bacteria; Bacillati; Cyanobacteriota; Cyanophyceae; Synechococcales; Prochlorococcaceae.